Molecule: microRNA precursor, 196 nt
Filed under: Oryza nivara
Lineage: Eukaryota; Viridiplantae; Streptophyta; Magnoliopsida; Poales; Poaceae
Description: MIR812 microRNA precursor family
Rfam family: MIR812 microRNA precursor family
Source: Rfam by way of RNAcentral
AAAAAGGCAAACCUUAAGUUUCCGUGUUCAAUUUUGACUGUUCGUCUUAUAUGAAAUUUUUUUAUAAUUCGUAUUUUUAUUGUUGUUAGAAGAUAAAACAUGAUUAAUAUUUUAUGCGUGACUUAUCUUUUUAAUUUUUUUUAUAAUUUUUUUAAAUAAGACGGACGGUCAAACGUUGAGCAUAGAAAACAUGGUU